This 808-nucleotide ribosomal RNA is filed under the name Pseudomonas sp. UA-VH0603. RNAcentral's name for it is "bacterial SSU rRNA". It matches the Rfam family "Bacterial small subunit ribosomal RNA", at positions 55 to 855 of the family's 1533-position model. Lineage: Bacteria; Pseudomonadati; Pseudomonadota; Gammaproteobacteria; Pseudomonadales; Pseudomonadaceae. The record is from RNAcentral.
AUGCAGUCGAGCGGCAGCACGGGUACUUGUACCUGGUGGCGAGCGGCGGACGGGUGAGUAAUACCUAGGAAUCUGCCUGGUAGUGGGGGAUAACGUUCGGAAACGGACGCUAAUACCGCAUACGUCCUACGGGAGAAAGCAGGGGACCUUCGGGCCUUGCGCUAUCAGAUGAGCCUAGGUCGGAUUAGCUAGUUGGUGAGGUAAUGGCUCACCAAGGCUACGAUCCGUAACUGGUCUGAGAGGAUGAUCAGUCACACUGGAACUGAGACACGGUCCAGACUCCUACGGGAGGCAGCAGUGGGGAAUAUUGGACAAUGGGCGAAAGCCUGAUCCAGCCAUGCCGCGUGUGUGAAGAAGGUCUUCGGAUUGUAAAGCACUUUAAGUUGGGAGGAAGGGCAGUUACCUAAUACGUGAUUGUUUUGACGUUACCGACAGAAUAAGCACCGGCUAACUCUGUGCCAGCAGCCGCGGUAAUACAGAGGGUGCAAGCGUUAAUCGGAAUUACUGGGCGUAAAGCGCGCGUAGGUGGUUCGUUAAGUUGGAUGUGAAAUCCCCGGGCUCAACCUGGGAACUGCAUUCAAAACUGUCGAGCUAGAGUAUGGUAGAGGGUGGUGGAAUUUCCUGUGUAGCGGUGAAAUGCGUAGAUAUANGAAGGAACACCAGUGGCGAAGGCGACCACCUGGACUGAUACUGACACUGAGGUGCGAAAGCGUGGGGAGCAAACAGGGAUUAGAUACCCUGGUAGUCCACGCCGUAAACGAUGUCAACUAGCCGUUGGGAAGCCUUGAGCUCUUAUUGGCGCAGCUAA